CAAUGAGCGCGAUAAGGGCAUUCGGUGGAUGCCUUGGCACCAGGAGGCGAUGAAAGACGUGGCACGCUGCGAAAAGCCAUGGGGAGCCGCGAGCAGGCUUUGAUCCGUGGAUAUCUGAAUGGGGCAACCCACCCAGCGAUGGGUAUCAUGUUCUGAAUACAUAGGGACAUGAGGCGAACCCGGGGAACUGAAACAUCUAAGUACCCGGAGGAAAAGACAUCAAUUGAGAUUCUGCUAGUAGUGGCGAGCGAACGCGGAACAGGCCAGUGGCUGUUUUUGAAGAAGCAGAACGGAAUGGAAAGUCCGGCCAGAGCGGGUGAUAGCCCCGUAUGCGUAGUGUCAGGAACAGUCCUUGAGUAGGGCGGGACACGUGAAAUCCUGUCUGAACAUGGGGGGACCACCCUCCAAGCCUAAAUACUCCCUGGUGACCGAUAGUGAACAAGUACCGUGAGGGAAAGGUGAAAAGCACCCCGACGAGGGGAGUGAAAGAGACCUGAAACCGAAUGCCUACAAGCAGUCGGAGCCUCUUAUGGGGUGACGGCGUACCUUUUGUAUAAUGGGUCAGCGAGUUUCUGUUUGCAGCAAGCUUAAGCCGUUAGGUGUAGGCGCAGCGAAAGCGAGUCUGAAUAGGGCGACGAGUUGCUGGCAGAAGACCCGAAACCGAGUGAUCUAGCCAUGGCCAGGCUGAAGGUGCGGUAACACGCACUGGAGGGCCGAACCCACGCCUGUUGAAAAAGUCGGGGAUGAGCUGUGGCUAGGGGUGAAAGGCCAAUCAAACUCGGAAAUAGCUGGUUCUCCGCGAAAUCUAUUGAGGUAGACCGUCGAGUAUUACCCCGGGGGGUAGAGCACUGGAUGGGCUAGGGGGGCCCAAAGCCUUACCAAACCUAACCAAACUCCGAAUACCCGGAAGUAUGAGCUCGGCAGACAGACAGUGGGUGCUAAGGUCCAUUGUCGAGAGGGAAACAGCCCAGACCACCAGCUAAGGCCCCCAAAUCGUGGCUAAGUGGGAAAGGAUGUGAGGAUUCCAAAACAACCAGGAGGUUGGCUUAGAAGCAGCCAUCCUUUAAAGAAAGCGUAAUAGCUCACUGGUCUAAUAGAAACCUUGCGCCGAAAAUGUAACGGGGCUCAAGCCACGUGCCGAAGCUGUGGGUGCAUUCUAUGAAUGCGCGGUAGCGGAGCGUUCCGUAGGUCUGUGAAGGAGACGGGGUGACCCUCUCUGGAGAUAUCGGAAGUGCGAAUGCUGACAUGAGUAGCGACAAACAGUGCGAGAAACACUGUCGCCGAAAGUCCAAGGGUUCCUGCGCAAGGUUAAUCCGCGCAGGGUGAGCCGGCCCCUAAGGCGAGGGCGAAAGCCGUAGUCGAUGGAAACCGGGCAAAUAUUCCCGGGCCUGCCAGAAGUGACGAAUACAAUAUGUUGUCGGGUCUUAUCGGAUUGAUCCGGCUUUUGGAGUAUUCCAGGAAAUAGCUCUGGCAUAUAGACCGUACCCGAAACCGACACAGGUGGACUGGUAGAGAAUACCAAGGCGCUUGAGAGAACGAUGCUGAAGGAACUAGGCAAAUUACUUGCGUAACUUCGGGAUAAGCAAGACCCGUCAGUGGGCAACCAUCGGCGGGUGGCACAGACCAGGGGGUAGCGACUGUUUAGUAAAAACACAGGGCUGUGCGAAGUCGAGAGACGACGUAUACGGCCUGACGCCUGCCCGGUGCCGGAAGGUUAAGAGGAGGUGUGCAAGCACCGAAUUGAAGCCCCGGUAAACGGCGGCCGUAACUAUAACGGUCCUAAGGUAGCGAAAUUCCUUGUCGGGUAAGUUCCGACCUGCACGAAUGGCGUAACGACUUCCCCGCUGUCUCCAGCAUCGGCUCAGCGAAAUUGAAUUCCCCGUGAAGAUGCGGGGUACCCGCGGUCAGACGGAAAGACCCUAUGAACCUUUACUGCAGCUUUGCAGUGGCAUCAGAGACAUUCUGUGUAGGAUAGGUGGGAGGCUUUGAAACCGGGGCGCCAGUUCCGGUGGAGCCAUCCUUGAAAUACCACCCUGACUGUUUCUGAUGUCUAACCGAGGCCUGUUAGCCAGGUCCGGGACCCUGCAUGGUGGGCAGUUUGACUGGGGCGGUCGCCUCCCAAAGUGUAACGGAGGCGCGCGAUGGUGGGCUCAGGCCGGUCGGAAACCGGCUGUCGAGUGCAAUGGCAUAAGCCCGCCUGACUGUGAGAGUGACAGCUCGAUCAGAGACGAAAGUCGGCCAUAGUGAUCCGGUGGUCCCGCGUGGAAGGGCCAUCGCUCAACGGAUAAAAGGUACUCUAGCAGCCUGUCGGGUUGGGCAUUUUGCGGCUGAUAACGCCGAGGCUGACCCGGCUUAUGCUGCCUGAAGCCGUGCCAUUCUUUUGCAGUUGUAUGCGAGAGCGACGAGGGUCCAUUCAGUCGUGACUUUUGCAAGGCCACGCAGACUGAAUCUUCUGAAGCCCAUGAUGCUUUUGAUAAUUCCAAAGACCGGUUCAACGGUCUGUUUUCGUAGUCUGUAAAUAUUUCCGGCUUUUGUGGUUUCCAGUUUUUUCUUCAUGGCAAGCCGCCAGGGUUCGGUGAUCCGGCGUGGUUCCCUGUUUUCAGGAGGUGGUCGGAAGUCAUAAGGCCUGCGGGCACAGGGCCGUCCGAUGGCGACCAGCGGAUCAAUGCCUUUUUUCCGCAGGUCCCGGACCGCCUGCCCGCUGGCGUAACCGGUGUCGGCAAGCACUGUCUUUGGGAGACCGAUCGUGUUUUCCAUCGACAGCACGGUGCUGGCAAAGGAUGGCGCGUCCGCUGACGUGGCGACAACGUCGGUUGUCACGAUCAACUGACUGCCUUCGGCGCAGACCACGGCCUGGGCAUUGUAAGCCUGCCGGAACUCGUGGGCGUCCGAACGCCGCAUGAGGCGGCUGUCGGGAUCGGUCAGACUGAUCUGCCGGUCGGGUGGUGGUUCAUCAUCCGGCGGUUUCGGCGCCCGACCGCGACGCCCUGUUUUUGCGUCAUACAUCGCCUUCUUUUUCUCGUAUGCCGGUCGCGCCGCCUCGGCCUGCGCUUUCGCAUCUGCUUCCAGCCGGGCGCAGGCUUCGUCCAGCUUCGCUUUCAGUGUUUCCCGUCGGGCAAGCUCUUCUGGCAGGGCCUGCGGAUCUCUGUCUGUGGCAUCUGCGUGCUCCGCCUGGUCCAUCAGUUUCGCGAUAUCCACCGCCAGCUGUUCGCGCAGUGCCCUGAUCCGGUCGUAGCGCAGGGAACGGUAUUUCGAAGCGUCGGCAUCAAUUUUCGUGCCGUCAAUCGAUACGACACCCAGACGCAGCAGACCCGUCUCGCGCGCCAGAAGCAGGACCUGCGCAAAUGCAGCUUCAAUGGCUGUCCGGUUCGUCCGGCGGAAGGUCGCAAUCGUAUCAUGAUCCGGAUGCAGGUUCGCCGCCACGAAGCGUACCCCGAUGUCGCGAUAUGUCGCCCGCUCGAUCCGGCGUGAGGAAAACAACCCGUUCGCAUAGCUGAAGAUCAGAAGGGCCAGCAUCAGGCGCGGAUGAUACUGCGCCUUGCCUCCCGUGCGCACUGGCACGCAGAACGCACUCAUCGGAACCCGCUCAACAGCUGCGACAAUGAAAUGCGCCAUAUCGUCAGCCGGAAGCCACGACGUCAGAUCAGGCGGCAGAAGAUACGGCUGGGAUCGGUCAAACGGGAUGAAGCGGCUCAUCGCGACACUCUACAGCCUUACCCCUUCACAGGGUACCCCAACCCGACAGGCUGCUAGGGAUAACAGGCUGAUCUCCCCCAAGAGUCCACAUCGACGGGGAGGUUUGGCACCUCGAUGUCGGCUCAUCACAUCCUGGGGCUGGAGCAGGUCCCAAGGGUUCGGCUGUUCGCCGAUUAAAGUGGUACGUGAGCUGGGUUUAGAACGUCGUGAGACAGUUCGGUCCCUAUCUGCCGUGGGUGUUGGAGACUUGAGAGGAUUUGUCCCUAGUACGAGAGGACCGGGAUGAACAUACCUCUGGUGCACCGGUUGUCGCGCCAGCGGCACAGCCGGGUAGCUAAGUGUGGACGGGAUAACCGCUGAAAGCAUCUAAGCGGGAAACCCACCUCAAAACAAGGUCUCCCCAAGGGCCGUGAUAGACCAUCACGUCAAUAGGCCAGGUGUGGAAGCGCAGUAAUGCGUGCAGCUGACUGGUCCUAAUCGCCCAAUAGGCUCAUUCCA
Molecule: non-coding RNA, 4194 nt
Organism: Komagataeibacter nataicola
Lineage: Bacteria; Pseudomonadati; Pseudomonadota; Alphaproteobacteria; Acetobacterales; Acetobacteraceae
Source: Rfam